Molecule: ribosomal RNA, 292 nt
Filed under: uncultured bacterium
Lineage: Bacteria
Description: partial 16S ribosomal RNA
Rfam family: Bacterial small subunit ribosomal RNA
Source: RNAcentral
GUGUCAGCAGCCGCGGUAAUACGGAGGAUGCGAGCGUUAUCCGGAUUUAUUGGGUUUAAAGGGUGCGUAGGCGGACAAAUAAGUCAGUGGUGAAAACCUGCAGCUUAACUGUAGAUGUGCCGUUGAUACUGUUAGUCUUGAGUGUGGUCAAGGUAGGCGGAAUGUGUAAUGUAGCGGUGAAAUGCUUAGAUAUUACACAGAACACCGAUUGCGAAGGCAGCUUGCUGGGCCAUUACUGACGCUGAUGCACGAAAGCGUGGGGAUCGAACAGGAUUAGAUACCCUCGUAGUCC